Molecule: ribosomal RNA, 443 nt
Filed under: uncultured marine eukaryote
Lineage: Eukaryota
Description: SSU rRNA
Rfam family: Eukaryotic small subunit ribosomal RNA
Source: RNAcentral
UUGCAGUUAAAAAGCUCGUAGUUGGAUUUCUGGUCGAAGCAGCCGCCCGGCUUCAAGUAAGUUUGUGGCAGGCGCCUCGGCCAUUUUUGUAAAGACUAUAUCUGUCAUUAAGUUGGUGGGUAUAGGACUUGCAUCAUUUACUGUGAGCAAAAUAGAGUGUUCAAAGCAGGCUUAGGCCAUGAAUAUCUUAGCAUGGAACAAUAAGAUAAGACCUUGGUCUAUUUUGUUGGUUAGCAUUCCGAGGUAAUGAUUAAUAGGGAUAGUUGGGGGUAUUCGUAUUCAAUUGUCAGAGGUGAAAUUCUUGGAUUUAUUGAAGACGAACUACUGCGAAAGCAUUUACCAAGGAUGUUUUCAUUAAUCAAGAACGAAAGUUAGGGGAUCGAAGAUGAUUAGAUACCAUCGUAAUCUUAACCAUAAACUAUGCCGACUAGGGAUUAGUGGAC